Molecule: unclassified non-coding RNA, 150 nt
Filed under: uncultured Helotiales
Lineage: Eukaryota; Fungi; Ascomycota; Leotiomycetes; Helotiales
Description: sequence contains ITS2
Source: RNAcentral
CAACCCUCAAGCUUUGCUUGGUCUUGGGCACUGCCGGGAACGGCUUGCCUUAAAAUCAGUGGCGGUGCCAUUCGAGCUCUACGCGUAGUAAUAAACCCCUCGCGAUUGAGUCUUGGUGGAUGCUUGCCAGCAACCCUCAAUUUUUUAUGG